GGUUGUGGCUCAGUGGUAGAGUCCUCGCCUAGCAUGUGUGGGGCCCUAGGUUCGAUCCUCAGCACCA
RNAcentral lists this transfer RNA (67 nucleotides) under Marmota monax (woodchuck). RNAcentral describes it as "tRNA.Ala". Lineage: Eukaryota; Metazoa; Chordata; Mammalia; Rodentia; Sciuridae. The record is from RNAcentral.